GGGGAGAUGCCAGAGUGGACGAUCGGAGCCGCCUGCUAAGCGGUUGAAGGGGGUAAUGCCUCUUCCCAGGGUUCGAAUCCCUGUCUCCCCGC
This 92-nucleotide transfer RNA is filed under the name Chloroflexi bacterium ADurb.Bin180. RNAcentral's name for it is "tRNA-Ser". It matches the Rfam family "tRNA". Rfam says of the family: Transfer RNA (tRNA) molecules are approximately 80 nucleotides in length. Their secondary structure includes four short double-helical elements and three loops (D, anti-codon, and T loops). Lineage: Bacteria; Bacillati; Chloroflexota. The record is from RNAcentral.